This 436-nucleotide ribosomal RNA is filed under the name Anahita sp. CG25. Its description in RNAcentral is "partial 16S ribosomal RNA". The record is from RNAcentral. Lineage: Eukaryota; Metazoa; Arthropoda; Arachnida; Araneae; Ctenidae.
UUCUAUUAGACCUAAUUAAUAGUAAAAUCUGCUCAAUGAUAAUUAAAUAGCCGCAAUUCGUGCUAAGGUAGCAUAAUCAUUUGUCUUUUAAUUAAAGACUAGAACAAAAGAUUUAACAUUUCAAUUUAUUUCUAAAAUUAUAAAUUUAAACUAUUUUAAUUGUAAAAAAACAAUUAUUAAUAAAAAAGACGACAAGACCCUAUUGAACUUCACUUUAGUUAAACUGGGGCAGUUAAUUAAAUAUAACUUUAAAUAAAAUAAAACACCAUAAGACCUAAUAAUAUUAAUUUAAAAAUUAAGUUACCUUAGGGAUAACAGCGUAAUAAACUUUUAAAGCUCUUAUUUAAAAGAAAGAUUGCGACCUCGAUGUUGAAUAAUUUUUCCAAUUAACGCAAUAGUAAAUUGAGAAAGUCUGUUCGACUUUUAAAAAAUUACA